RNAcentral lists this ribosomal RNA (684 nucleotides) under Orcula restituta. RNAcentral describes it as "partial 12S ribosomal RNA". Lineage: Eukaryota; Metazoa; Mollusca; Gastropoda; Stylommatophora; Orculidae. The record is from RNAcentral.
CCAAAAACGGAAAUUAAAAUCCUUUUUAGAAUAAAGUUAAUCUACUAAACUUAAUAGGUUAAAUUAUUAUAAGUUAUAUGAAUUAUGGAAAUUCAAGUACCACCAGUCCAAAACAUUAAAUAUUAUAUAAUUAUAAAUUUAGUAAAACUUAUUUGUUAAGGUUAAUACGGUGCCAGCAACCGCGGUCAAACCAUAUUAAUAAAUAAUCUUUAGAAAAUCUAUCUCAAUAUUUAAAUUUUCGUGUGAGGCGUACAGUGAAAUGUAGCUUUCAAAGUCAUAAUUAAUAAUUUAUUUAUUCAAGUAAAUAGGUUAAAAAACUAGGAUUAGAUACCCUACUAUUCUUAUAAUAAAUAAAGUAGAUUUGAGGAGUAAACCUGUUAAGAAACUCAAAAGUCAUGGCGGCUGUUAAAAACCAUUAGGGGAGCUUACCAAGUAAUUGACAACCAUCAAGAAAUCAUUUCUUUAGUUUAAAGUUUGUAUGCCGUCGUCAAAAAUUUUUUUAAGAAAAAUUUGUAUUCAAAUAUAGAUUUUUAAAGACAGAUCAAGGUGCAACUAAUACUAAUGUUUAGGCGAGCUACAAUAGUUGCCUACUUAUCGAAUAAAUAACUAAAAAGUUAGAUGAAGUUGGACUUAAAAGUAAAACAAAAAUAACAAUUAAUAUUUGAAUGCCAUAUUUAACAGUGU